This 465-nucleotide ribosomal RNA is filed under the name uncultured bacterium. RNAcentral describes it as "partial 16S ribosomal RNA". It matches the Rfam family "Bacterial small subunit ribosomal RNA", at positions 338 to 795 of the family's 1533-position model. The record is from RNAcentral.
CCUACGGGAGGCAGCAGUGGGGAAUUUUGGACAAUGGGCGCAAGCCUGAUCCAGCUAUUCCGCGUGUGGGAUGACGGCCCUCGGGUUGUAAACCACUUUAGUAGAGAACGAAAAGGAGCUAUCGCAUAAAUCGCUCUGCUGACGGUACUCUAAGAAUAAGCACCGGCUAACUACGUGUCAGCAGCCGCGGUAAUACGUAGGGUGCGAGCGUUAAUCGGAAUUACUGGGCGUAAAGGGUGUGCAGGCGGCUGAGUAAGACAGAUGUGAAAUCCCCGGGCUUAACCUGGGAACCGCAUAUGUGACUGCUUGGCUAGAGUGCGUCAGAGGGAGGUGGAAUUCCACGUGUAGCAGUGAAAUGCGUAGAUAUGUGGAAGAACACCGAUGGCGAAGGCAGCCUACUGGGACGCAACUGACGCUCAUACACGAAAGCGUGGGGAGCAAACAGGAUUAGAUACCCUUGUAGUC